UGUCCAGUAGUACCUUAGAGACCAAGUAAGUUUGUUCUUGGUAUGAGCUUUUUUGUGCAUGCACACUUCACACGAAAACUAAAGAAUAAACUUAGUUGGUCUCUAAGGUGCUACUGGACA
Non-coding RNA from Podarcis lilfordi (Lilford's wall lizard), 120 nucleotides. The record is from the annotation of a GenBank genome assembly. NCBI's taxonomy places the organism in Eukaryota, Metazoa, Chordata, Lepidosauria, Squamata, Lacertidae.